AGUUGGCAGUCCUGAUCGUCAUCCUCAAUAUUGCAGCAUCAGGCCCUUUCCCCCUUCUUAAUUUUUUGUAUUAGUCGUGAAUUACUCUUUUCAAUUUCGAACUUGUUUGCAUCAAGAAUUUUUGCUGUUCGUAUGUAUAUAUUCUGAUCUUGUUUGCAUAAAGAAUUUGGCCAAUAUUUGGAAGAACUGAAAGGAUUGAGCUUUUGCUUAUAAUCGAAUCAAUUCUUGAUUUCUUGCAAUAUACAAUUUGUGAUUUUCUUUUGCAUGCCUGAUAAUGUCCUCAUAGCUAACAGAAGCUUGUCCUUCUGAUUGAUUUGGUUGUCUGCCACGUUCGUUGCAGGCUACCUGUUCGACGGAAUGCAACAGGGAGACAGCUUUUAACCUGGAUCGUGUUAGCUAUCAUUGGACGGUGCUGCCGACAGAGUACAGCUCGGCUGCAGGACUCAAGGAGGAACAACCACGACUUGCAGCAGAUGCCCAAAUCCCAAUUUCGCGUCCUGCCUCUUUCUUGUGAUUCAGUUUGCAUUUGCAAAUGCCAUUUACAGAGCAGUCCUUGUAGUGCUGUUGGCUGGCAUAUCGCCAUUGGUCUCAACUCUUUUGAUGUCCAGCUCUAGCCUCUAGGACACCAGAUCAAACCGACUGGCAUCAGCAUCUGCAAUGUGCACUUUGGCAGGUGGAUGCACAUCUUGAUGGCAUGGUGGUUGGUAAUUGCUCUGCUGAAGAUGGACAUGAAACUAGAAAAGAACAUGAGAAGAUUAAGCCAGUGGUGGUGGUGCCACUGGAAUGCCAUCCUGGUCAUUAUCCUCAACAUGUCCUUAAUCAACGCUCGUCGCCGGCGGCCAACACCAAAGGGCAGGGGUGAUGCAGAGAUGUCAACCCCUUCAUCAACGCUCGUCGCCGGCGGCCAACACAAAGGGCAGGGGUGAUGCCGAGAUGUCAACCCAGGACGAGCACACCACAAUUGAUGACCUGCUUCGGUGGCAGGCGAUGCCCUCUAGACUGAUUUUUUUGGUACCGAGUGUAUAUGUGUGUUUGUAACGAUAAUGGCACGAUCAAUUGUAAAAACAAAAAACCAUUAUACCCGUAUUCUAGUGCAGUAAAAUAUUUACUGCCUUAUAUAUCAGGCCCAAUCAAUUACUAAGUAACUUUUUUACUCCCUCUAUGAUUGGAUGAUUCGAAUACAUAUUAGUAAUUUUUUUUACUCCAUGAAUGUAAUUUUGUUUAUCACAUGAUAGAAACAAAUUCAAUUGUCAAGA
This is a long non-coding RNA of Oryza sativa Japonica Group (Japanese rice), 1256 nucleotides long. RefSeq lists it as uncharacterized. Lineage: Eukaryota; Viridiplantae; Streptophyta; Magnoliopsida; Poales; Poaceae. The record is from RefSeq and is a predicted model, not a curated record.